RNAcentral lists this unclassified non-coding RNA (236 nucleotides) under plant metagenome. Its description in RNAcentral is "partial contains small subunit ribosomal RNA, internal transcribed spacer 1, and 5.8S ribosomal RNA". The record is from RNAcentral.
UCUCCGUAGGUGAACCUGCGGAAGGAUCAUUACUGAGUGAGGGCCCCUCGGGGUCCAACCUCCCACCCGUGUUUAACGAACCUUGUUGCUUCGGCGGGCCCGCCUCACGGCCGCCGGGGGGCAUCUGCCCCCGGGCCCGCGCCCGCCGAAGCCACCUGUGAACGCUGUCUGAAGUAUGCAGUCUGAGACAAUUAUUAAAUUAAUUAAAACUUUCAACAACGGAUCUCUUGGUUCCA